UAAAAGCUUGGUUCUAGCUAAAAAUUUAAUUCUGUUUUGACUACCACAUGUAAGCUUUAAGCAACCCAGCAAACACCCCUUCAAUAAAAUAAAACACAAAUUUUAUUUUACAAAGUAAAAGUAAAAACUUAAACUAACCUACAAUAAUUGCGAACUUCAGUGUUUAACAUUAUACAAUCUAAGAAACUAGGAUAUAGUCAAAAACAAGAAAGGCGGUCAAUAACGUGCCAGCAACCGCGGUUACACGUUAGCCUAAAAUUAAAUAACUCCGGUAAUCAGAAGUAUUUCUCUAUAAAAAUUUUAUAAAAAUAAAACAGCAGUAACAAGCUAAAAACUAAAUAAUAUAAAAUAUGUAAACUACUUAGAAAAAAAAGAACUAAACUGGGAUUAGAUACCCCACUAUACUUUUUUCUCCUCCUAAAAACCAGAGCAGUAUAACUAAAAAUCUAAACUUAAAGAACUUGGCGGUUUUCUAAACCUUCUUGGAGGAGCUUGUUAUCCAAUUGAUAACCCACAAGAUACCUUACCAGUUUUAGACAACAGCCUGUAUACCAUCGUCGCCAGCUUUCCUUAAAGAUUGAAAGCAUAAAGAAAACUCACCCAAACGUCAGAUCAAGGUGCAGCCAAUAAACUGGGGAUCAAUGAGCUACCUUACUCCCAAAUCAGAGGAUUUAUAACUGAAAAAGAUAAUGAAAAAGGAUUCAACAGUAAUUUUAUAAAGAAAUAUUAUAAUGAAACAAGCUCUAGAAUGCGUACACAUCGCCCGUCACUCUCAUCAAAAGAAGAGAAAAGUCGUAACAUAGUAAAUGUACCGGAAGGUGCAUCUAGAAAACU
RNAcentral lists this non-coding RNA (834 nucleotides) under Thyonella gemmata. Lineage: Eukaryota; Metazoa; Echinodermata; Holothuroidea; Dendrochirotida; Cucumariidae. The record is from RNAcentral.